Molecule: ribosomal RNA, 713 nt
Filed under: uncultured Arcobacter sp.
Lineage: Bacteria; Pseudomonadati; Campylobacterota; Epsilonproteobacteria; Campylobacterales; Arcobacteraceae
Description: bacterial SSU rRNA
Rfam family: Bacterial small subunit ribosomal RNA
Source: RNAcentral
UGCAAGUCGACGAGAACGGGUUAUAGCUUGCUAUAACUGUCAGCUAAGUGGCGCACGGGUGAGUAAUAUAUAGUUAACCUGCCCUAGAGAGAGGGAUAACGUUUGGAAACGGACGCUAACACCUCAUAUGCCUUUAAGUCAAAAGACUGCAAGGGAAACAUUUAUGGCUCUAGGAUGGGACUGUACGGUAUCAGUUAGUUGGUGAGGUAAUGGCUCACCAAGACAAUGACACCUAACUGGUUUGAGAGGAUGAUCAGUCACACUGGAACUGAGACACGGUCCAGACUCCUACGGGAGGCAGCAGUGGGGAAUAUUGCACAAUGGACGAAAGUCUGAUGCAGCAACGCCGCGUGGAGGAUGACACAUUUCGGUGCGUAAACUCCUUUUAUAUAGGAAGAUAAUGACGGUACUAUAUGAAUAAGCACCGGCUAACUCCGUGCCAGCAGCCGCGGUAAUACGGAGGGUGCAAGCGUUACUCGGAAUCACUGGGCGUAAAGAGAAUGUAGGCGGGUAAUUAAGUCAGAAGUGAAAUCCAAUAGCUCAUCUAUUGAACUGCUUUUGAAACUGAUAACCUAGAAUAUGGGAGAGGUAGAUGGAAUUUCUGGUGUAGGGGUAAAAUCCGUAGAGAUCAGAGGGAAUACCGAUUGCGAAGGCGAUCUACUGGAACAUUUAUUGACGCUGAGACGCGAAAGCGUGGGGAGCAAACAGGAUUA